AAUAUUUUGGUUAAGUUACUAAGAGCAUACGGUGGAUGCCUUGGUACGAGAAGCUGAUGAAGGACGCGGCUACCUGCGAUAAUCUACGGUGAGACGGAAGCAAUCUAAGACCCGUAGGUUUCCGAAUGGGGCAACCCAAAUAGAGUAAUGUCUAUUUACCGGUAUUUGAAUACAUAGGAUAUCCGGAAGCAACCCAGGGAACUGAAACAUCUAAGUACCUGGUGGAAGAGAAAACAAUAGUGAUUUCCCAAGUAGUGGCGAGCGAAAAGGAAUCAGCCUAAACCUAUCAACAUGUUAAAGGUGGCAACCGUUGUGUUGAAGGUGUAGCGGGACACUUUAGAGAUAAUUGCCAUAUUCUCAAAGAGUCAAAAAGUAUAACGUUAGUCGAAUGUUCUGGAAAGUUCAACCAUAGAAGGUGAUAGUCCUGUAGGCGAAAACAUUAUACCUCUUUAAGUGCACCCAAGUAGUGCGGAGUAAGUGAAAUUCUGUACGAAUCCGGGAGAACCAUCUCCUAAGGCUAAAUACUCUCUCGUAACCGAUAGUGAAGCAGUACCGUGAGGGAAAGGUGAAAAGUACUCCUAUUAGGAGAAUGAAAUAGUACCUGAAACCGUAUGCUUACAAGCAGUUGGAGUCCCGAUUUAUCGGGAUGACAGCGUGCCUUCUGGAUAAUGAGCCAACGAGUUACUCGUAUGUUGCACGGUUAACCCGCUAAGCGGGGCAGCCAUAGCGAAAGCAAGUCCUAAUUGGGCGUUUUAGUAACAUGCGGUAGACGCGAAACCGAGUGAUCUAUCCUUGUCCAGGAUGAAGUGAGGGUAAAACCUCAUGGAGGUCCGAACUAGUGUGGGUUGAAAACCGCUUGGAUGAGAUGAGGAUAGGGGUGAAAGGCUAAUCAAACUCGGAAAUAGCUCGUAUUCCCCGAAAUAGCUUUAGGGCUAGCCUCGAUUAAAAAUGUAACGGAGGUAGAGCACUGAUUGGGCUAGGGCUGUCACAACGGUACCAAACCCAGACAAACUCCGAAUUCCGUAUACAUGUUUUUCGGGAGUCAGGCCACGAGGGAUAAGCUUCGUGGCCAAAAGGGAAACAACCCAAACCAUCAACUAAGGUCCCAAAGUUGUAGUUAACAGAGAAAGGAUGUUGAGUUGCAUAGACAACUAGGAUGUUGGCUUAGAAGCAGCCAUUCAUUUAAAGAGUGCGUAAUAGCUCACUAGUCAAGCGACUCGGCGUCGACAAUUCGCGGGACUCAAACUACACACCGAAGUUAUGGAUUUUCCGCUUACGCGGAAAGUGGUAGGGGAACAUUCUAUUUGCAUUGAAGGUGUAUCGCGAGGUAUGCUGGAGCGGAUAGAAAAGCAAAUGUUGGCAUUAGUAACGAUAAUGGAGCUGAAAAAGCUCCACACCGAAAAUCUAAGGUUUCCUGAGCAACGUUAAUCGUCUCAGGGUUAGUCGAGACCUAAGCCGAGGCUGAAAGGCGUAGGUGAUGGCAAACAGGUUAAUAUUCCUGUACCUGGUAAUAAUUGUUUGACUAUAAGGAGUAACGCAGAAGUGAAAGGUCAGCCGCCUGUUGGAUUAGGCGGUCUAAGCAUGUAGGGAGAGAGAGUAGGCAAAUCCGCUUUCUCAAUUCUGAAGUGCGACGGGGAGUCCUUUGGACACAAACUGACCCUAAGCAGACUGCCGAGAAAAACUUCGUAUAGGAGAUUAUUAUCAGUUCGUACCGUAAACCGACACAGGUAGAUGGGAUGAGUAUUCUAAGGUGCUCGAGUGAGCCGUGGUUAAGGAACUCGGCAAAUUAACCCCGUAACUUCGGGAAAAGGGGUUCCCGCCUUUGGCGGGACGCAGUGAAAAGGCCCAAGCGACUGUUUAACAAAAACAUAUGUCUCUGCGAAGUCAAUCAAGACGAUGUAUAGGGACUGACACCUGCCCGGUGCUGGAAGGUUAAGAGGAGAUGUCAUGCCGACUUGUCGGUAGAAGCAUUGAAUCGAAGCCCCAGUAAACGGCGGCCGUAACUAUAACGGUCCUAAGGUAGCGAAAUUCCUUGUCGGGUAAGUUCCGACCUGCA
Molecule: ribosomal RNA, 2056 nt
Filed under: Ignavibacteria bacterium CG08_land_8_20_14_0_20_37_9
Lineage: Bacteria; Pseudomonadati; Ignavibacteriota; Ignavibacteria
Description: bacterial LSU rRNA
Rfam family: Bacterial large subunit ribosomal RNA
Source: RNAcentral